AGGUGAGGGAGUCCCAGAAGUGGAAGUGCAAUGGCCUCAGAGGCACUGUUUGGACUGUCUCUUCUUAUCAGUGGAGUGGAAAGAGGAGCCAGGCAGCUUCCUCAGGCCCUCUUGACCUUUGAGGAGGUGGCUGUGUUUUUCACGGAGGAGGAGUGGGCUCUGCUGGAUCCAGGCCAACGAGCUCUGCACAAGGGAGUCAUGGAGGAGAAUUAUGAGAUGGUGGCCUCUCUAG
This is a non-coding RNA of Podarcis muralis (Common wall lizard), 232 nucleotides long. The record is from RefSeq and is a predicted model, not a curated record. NCBI's taxonomy places the organism in Eukaryota, Metazoa, Chordata, Lepidosauria, Squamata, Lacertidae.